Molecule: long non-coding RNA, 3767 nt
Organism: Lemur catta (Ring-tailed lemur)
Lineage: Eukaryota; Metazoa; Chordata; Mammalia; Primates; Lemuridae
Exons: 3
Source: RefSeq, a predicted model, not a curated record
UAACCCGUCUCUGGGUCUCUUUUCAUUAUAAACUGUUGAUGUGGUGUCUAUCCAGUAAGAUUGCAAGGAUCACACUAGAUGGUAUAUUGAGAGUGACUAGCAUAGUGCCUGCCGUAAGGUGAUGUCUCGGAAACUGGCUACUCCAUUCCUUCCCCUCACUGCACCCCAGUAUCCCCACUGCUGACCCUCCAGUCUCUGCCUGAACACUGGUGCAGGGAACCCGCAGUUCUUCCUUACAGUAGGUCAACCUCCACUUUUACUAGUCCUGUUGAACAGGUGUGGACUCAACCUCUGUAAGCUCAUAGUAAAGUUGAAAAGUCAGCAAUAACUUGUACAGGGCAAGCAAUGGCAAGUGUAGGAAAAGGGAGUAUUUCAGUUCUGAUUGAAACUACAGAGAAGAGAAUCUAAUCUGAACGAGGCUUUGAAAGAUGGGUCUGGGUCAUCAAGUCUCUUCUGAGUAUUUAGUAACUUUAUUCACAAAAACUGUCUACGGCAUGUCUCGCGUAACUUCAAAUGUCAGUUGUAGUUGUCUGGGUAUGGUUGUUACCAAUAUAUAUAACCAACUACCUUGCUAGACAUUGAGAUUAUUUCUAAUCUGAGGAUAUUAAGAGUGCUUCCAUGACCAUCCCUGGAACAAAAUGUUUGGGCAAAUUCAAACUACUUCCUUGGGAUAAAUUCCAAGAAGUGGAUUGUAGGGUGAAAGGUACAUUUUUCUGUUACUUUAUUUCAAAAAUUUUCAAACAAAGCAGAACAGGUUGUUUACAUAUGUACCUACCACCUAGAUUCAAUAAUUAACAUCUUAACAUGUUUUUUCAAUGUAAAUGUAUAGGGGUGUACCUUUAUGCUGACUAGUCAGUUGCACACACAUUUCAGCAUGUGUCUCUCAGGAUACUCCAAUGUAACCACAGUAUCACUGUAGCAUCUGAGAUAACUCUCAGUGCCUAAUAUUCAGUCUAUAUUCACAUUUCAGCAAUUGCCCUCCAACUGUCUCAGAGCUUAUUUUUUGAGCAUGGAUUCAGUUUCAUGCAUUACAUGUCGUCAUGUCUCCUUGGUCUAUUAAUCGUGAACAAUCUCCCCUUGCUCCGCUCUUUUUUGAAUGGAAUGUCUCCCCUCCUAGAUUUGAAUGUUUCCCCAGAGUGCCCACUAAUUCAUUCCUCUCUCUCUUGUGUUUUCUGUAAACUGGAAGUUGGGUCAAGAGGCUUGAUUAUGUUUGGCAGGAAUCCUCCAUGGGUGAUGCUAUGUGCUGUUCAUAUUGGAUGACAGCGGGACGUACCUGAAAUACUGCCUUUACUAUUCGUGAUGCUAAAUUUGAGUCUUUAAGAUAAGAUCACCAGAGCUCUCCUUUGUAAACACGAGCUUUUCCCUAUUCCCACAGCCUUCCACUUGAGUGGAAGCUGCACUGGGAGCUGCAAAAUGGGAAGAGCGCACAUCCUAUAGCAUCUUGUCACAUGGCCCGGAGAAAAGUCAUCUCAAGUGUUCUCAGAGUAUCUAUCUUCCCACCUUUACCAGUCCUCGGCAUUAUGUUUGGAAAAUGGGAAGGGGGGAAACAAAAAACCACUGGAUUUCAUAGGUGGAAAAUGGUGUCCCUGACGUUUACAUUUUCUUUUUUUAAUUCCGUGGUACUAUGUUUUCUUCACACAUCAAGCUGCCAUUUGUGAUCCGUACUCUAGACCCAGUUCAAACGCCCAUCUGGGUAGAUUUGGGGGAAGUUGUUUUCACUGAGGUCACGUGGAGCCACCCCACCACCAGGCCGGGUUCUGUUAAUGGAGGAAGGGGACGCUGAGCAGUAAAAAACACCAUCCAUCCAGGCUGGGAAAGGUGCCUGUUUUUCCAUUCGAUUUAUAUAGUCAGGAUAUUAACCUUUUACUAUGUCACAAAUAUUUCUGUCCAAAUCAUCUUUUCUGCUUUUCAGUUAUCAUGGUCCUUUUGGGAACGUUAAGUAGGUGGACUUUGACCAAUGUGCCUGCAGUUUCUGCUUCUGGUGUCUCGUAGGUAACGGUCACGCCCCAGGCUCUGUGCGAGGCAGUUUCACCGCCAGUGACGACCAGCCCCAACUCCGGGCGUAACGGCCUUUGCCCUGCUAACAGACUGGAGGGAGGGCCCCAGAAUACUUUCCAACGAGACCGUCCUAUUUCAGCCUGAAAACAUCGUGUGCCGGCUCUAGGUAAGUGCCUUAAAUCACCCUAACAUCUCACUCACCUUAUUUCAUGUGUAGGAGGAAGAACAAUUACGGGUUUCCAUCUCUCUACUGCUGCAUAUUCCCGUAAAUUAUCCUGUAAGAAACAACACCCUCCCAUCCCUGGCAAAAAAAGCAGAAAGUGUGCACUUAUUUUUCUACCUGCUUUCACACUGCUGGAUUGGCAAACCGAGUGUACGCAACCGAACGGACUACAGAAAACUGCCUUUAGCUGGCUGUUCGCUUCCCCGCUCUCCCAUCUUUGAAGAAACUGCUGGUGCAGGAAGCCGUAAUCAACCCCGAAGUAAGCGGAACUCUGUGUCAUCACUUCAAGGUCUUUAGCAUUGGGAACUCCGUUAAUCUUUAAAACUUCCCACUCGUCCAUGCAAAUGACAUUCAUUCUGGAUAAAGUGGAAGCUGUUUAACACUGGCAGUUCUGAAACCUACCGGAUGAAUUCCCUCAUGCAUUACCUCUGUGGCCCAGAGAGAUCAAUUCCAAAAUUGCUCAUGAAACGUCAUAAGCUUCACUGAACUAUAGUACUAGUAACCUGGUAUUUGCUUAUUUUGCAUGGAAGUAGAAGAGCACCCAGAGGACUCUGGUUUCUUGUCCUUGUGAGACUUACUAGCAUCCUGUCAAUAGCUGCAGUGAUUCCUCUGUGUGAAGUGACAUUCUUCGGUACGCGUGUGGGCAAAAACCACAGGGCAGCGUGCCCAGCUUCUGCGUGGCAUGUGUCUUCCCCACCCAAGUAACAGGUAACUUCAGAGCUGGUGUUUUCCCAUUCAAAUAGCCAGAUCCCAAAAUCCACGGGUGCUCAAGUCCCCGGUAUAAAACGGCGUAGUCUUUACAUAUAACCUGUGCGCAUCCUCCUCCCUACGUUAAGUCAUGUCUAGAUUACUUACAAUUCCUAAUGCAACAUAAAUGGUGGUUACACUGUAUUUAGAGAAUGACAAGAAAAAAGUCUUUACACGUUCAGUACAGAUGCAACACCAUCCUUUUAUUUUCCCCCAAAUAAUUUCAAUCCGCAGUUGGCUGAAUCCGUGGCUGCGGAACCCACCGAUAGAGACAACUGUAAGUUAUCCGUGGUCAGGCAGGUCGUAAAAGGUGAAGCUCAGAUUAUUAUACAGAUUUGUCUGACUUCAUGUUAUGCACUGGAGGAAAUGUGGGUUUUAUAAGCUGUUUUAAUGUCAUCUGCAGCUCGUAUCUUAACACUGCUAACAUUCAACCAUUUUUGGAUGAUACUAGAGACAAUUAGUAAGACUGGAUUGGGAGUAGACAUCAGAGAGGUUCUGUGAACUGGAGUUUGAGAAAGAAGUCCUAAGACUUUGUAGUCACUGGAAACUCUUCCCAUGACUAGCACACUGGGGGACUAUUCUGUCCACGACUGCUUUACAUGUUGCCCGGUAGAUUUUCUCCAUUUACCAGCACUAGUCACGACAUUAAUACACUUCUAGGGACUGCUAAAAUUGGUAGGUUUUUAAAUACAUGUGUUAAGUAGGACAUGUCCAAUUUCCCUUAGUACUAAGUUUGACAGUUACUAUCUCUGAUAUUUCACUUUUGUUUUUAUUAUUAUGAAGGUACAUCCUCAGUCUU